CCUACGGGAGGCAGCAGUAGGGAAUAUUGCUCAAUGGGGGAAACCCUGAAGCAGCAACGCCGCGUGGAGGAUGAAGGUUUUAGGAUUGUAAACUCCUUUUGUUAGAGAAGAUUAUGACGGUAUCUAACGAAUAAGCACCGGCUAACUCCGUGCCAGCAGCCGCGGUAAUACGGAGGGUGCAAGCGUUACUCGGAAUCACUGGGCGUAAAGAGUGCGUAGGCGGGGUAAUAAGUCAGAUGUGAAAUCCUGUGGCUUAACUACAGAACUGCAUUUGAAACUGUUACUCUGGAGUGUGGGAGAGGUAGGUGGAAUUCUUGGUGUAGGGGUAAAAUCCGUAGAGAUCAAGAGGAAUACUCAGUGCGAAGGCGACCUGCUGGAACAUUACUGACGCUGAUGCACGAAAGCGUGGGGAGCAAACAGGAUUAGAUACCCUUGUAGUC
Molecule: ribosomal RNA, 440 nt
Filed under: uncultured bacterium
Lineage: Bacteria
Description: partial 16S ribosomal RNA
Rfam family: Bacterial small subunit ribosomal RNA
Source: RNAcentral